AGAGUUUGAUCAUGGCUCAGAGCGAACGCUGGCGGCAGGCCUAAUACAUGCAAGUCGAGCGGGUCCUUCGGGAUUAGCGGCGGACGGGUGAGUAACGCGUGGGAACGUGCCCUUUGGUACGGAACAACUGAGGGAAACUUCAGCUAAUACCGUAUGUGCCCUUCGGGGGAAAGAUUUAUCGCCAUUGGAGCGGCCCGCGUUGGAUUAGGUAGUUGGUGAGGUAAAGGCUCACCAAGCCUACGAUCCAUAGCUGGUCUGAGAGGAUGACCAGCCACACUGGGACUGAGACACGGCCCAGACUCCUACGGGAGGCAGCAGGUAGGGAAUCUUGCGCAAUGGGACGAAAGCCUGACGCAGCCAUGCCGCGUGAAUGAUGAAGGUCUUAGGAUUAGUAAAAUUCUUCACCGGGGACGAUAAUGACGGUACCCGGAGAAGAAGCCCCGGCUAACUUCGUG
This 455-nucleotide ribosomal RNA is filed under the name uncultured bacterium. Its description in RNAcentral is "bacterial SSU rRNA". It matches the Rfam family "Bacterial small subunit ribosomal RNA", at positions 8 to 507 of the family's 1533-position model. The record is from RNAcentral.